AUUGAACGCUGGCGGCAUGCCUAACACAUGCAAGUCGAACGGAGGUAGGGGCAACUCUACUUCAGUGGCGGACGGGUGAGGAAUGCGUCGGAAUCUACCCUAUGGUGGGGGAUAACACAGGGAAACUUGUGCCAAUACCGCAUAAUGUCGAGAGACCAAAGCAGGGGACCGCAAGGCCUUGCGCGAUAGGAUGAGCCGACGCCCGAUUAGCUAGUUGGUAGGGUAAAGGCCUACCAAGGCGACGAUCGGUAGCUGGUCUGAGAGGAUGAUCAGCCACACUGGGACUGAGACACGGCCCAGACUCCUACGGGAGGCAGCAGUGGGGAAUAUUGGACAAUGGGCGCAAGCCUGAUCCAGCAAUGCCGCGUGUGUGAAGAAGGCCUGCGGGUUGUAAAGCACUUUUGUUCGGGAAGAAAUCAUGCUGGUUAAUACCUGGUAUGGAUGACGGUACCGAAAGAAUAAGCACCGGCUAACUUCGUGCCAGCAG
This 487-nucleotide ribosomal RNA is filed under the name uncultured bacterium. RNAcentral's name for it is "bacterial SSU rRNA". It matches the Rfam family "Bacterial small subunit ribosomal RNA", at positions 30 to 514 of the family's 1533-position model. The record is from RNAcentral.